CAACAAAGCUGAUCUAGAUAAAGACUGCUGUUCCCAACCAAGACUGUUAUGACCCAAAGUAACAGAGCUGAGUGGCUCCAUGCAGAAGUCUGUGUUCAACAUCUGUCAUGCUGGAGAUCAUUAAUGUUCAAUUGCUUCCUAUUGUCUUCAUGUCAUUCAACUUCAUUUCAUUGUCAUUGCUUCAGCUGGGGGAUUAAUCAACUAUUUAUGAGAAGACAGGACUUGGAGUCAGGGCGGUCACAAUGGGGUUAUAGUCUGAGCAAUGGUGGGGAAAGCAAGUCACGGUUAAAAGACUACUAGUUUGUG
This 306-nucleotide long non-coding RNA is filed under the name Homo sapiens (human). RNAcentral describes it as "non-protein coding lnc-ATOH7-1:3". Lineage: Eukaryota; Metazoa; Chordata; Mammalia; Primates; Hominidae. The record is from RNAcentral.